Molecule: long non-coding RNA, 312 nt
Filed under: Setaria viridis
Lineage: Eukaryota; Viridiplantae; Streptophyta; Magnoliopsida; Poales; Poaceae
Description: long non-coding RNA (SVIR_LNC011291)
Source: RNAcentral
GCCGUGCAAGCUCCUCUGUUGUGGGCGAACUCAAGCCUGGGAGCAACAUCAGCUGGGAGGCGUUGGUGGGUGGGUGCAAAGGCAAGCGGAGGUGCGGGGAGCACGGCCAGGCGGGAUGGGCGAGCGGCUACGCGAGUCUACGUCACUCGGCGUGAGGAAGACGAAGAGGAAAAAAGAAAUAGAAGACGCUGACAAGUGAGACCCACCGGUGCUCGCUGUUAGCAGUGUUAAAAUGACAUCAUACUAUCCCUCACAAUCCUUCCAACAAAAAACCGGGUUGAAGAACACCAGAUGAAGACAUCUCUAUCUCCA